Molecule: ribosomal RNA, 329 nt
Filed under: uncultured eukaryote
Lineage: Eukaryota
Description: partial 18S ribosomal RNA
Rfam family: Eukaryotic small subunit ribosomal RNA
Source: RNAcentral
CCCUUAGAUGUCCUGGGCUGCACGCGCGCUACACUGACACGCUCAACGAGUAAUACCUGCUCCGAAGAGACUGGGUAAUCUUGUUAAAUCGUGUCGUGAUGGGGAUAGAUUAUUGCAAUUAUUAAUCUUCAACGAGGAAUUCCUAGUAAGUGUAAGUCAUCAGCUUGCGCUGAUUACGUCCCUGCCCUUUGUACACACCGCACGUCGCUACUACCGAUUGAAUGAUUUAGUGAGGACUUCGGACUGGGACCGAUGCGGCUUUCGGGCUGCGUCGGUAUUCUGGAAAGAUGUCCAAACUGUAUCAUUUAGAGGAAGUAAAANUCGUANCA